ACACCUGACACUUGAGGUAGGUGAUAAAUGUGUUUAUAAAUUAUAUUCGAUGUUUUGAUUGGGAUUUUUAUCGAUGUUGAUUUAGAUGGGGUCUUUUAUGUCGAAUUACAGGACUGGAGUUUUUGGGAAUUUUGUUGGACUUUGGUGCUGUGAGUAGAAAGGUAUUAGAGGAUACUGUUUCUCUAUUACCUUAGAGUAGCUAAUAUAGGUGGGUUCCAAGCAUAGUUCGUUAAUUCGGAUUCGGCAAAAAUUCGGUACGGAUAUAAUUCAGAUAAAAUUCGUCUCCUAAUUUUUAAAUUCGUUAAAAAGUACGGCGAUAAAAUGAAUUCGUCAAUUAUUCGGAUACAUGAUUUAUACGGAUAUUAUACGUUCAUCAAUUAAAAAUUCGGAAUAAAAAAUUCGGCUAUUAAAUUAAGUUUUUUUUCUCUUAAGAUUUAUGUUACUAGUAUGAAUACUCAUAUUUCUUAAGAAUAUAAAAAUAAAUAGCUACAAAAUUAAGUUAAUUAAGUAAAAAAGUUGAAAAGAUUUUUUUUUUUUUCCUGUUUUUGGGUGAGGUGUUUAGAAAGGAGAUUUUUGGGGAUUUCUUCUGUUUUGGGCUAGCCGGCCUGCGAGG
This 613-nucleotide long non-coding RNA is filed under the name Ananas comosus (pineapple). RNAcentral describes it as "long non-coding RNA (ACOM_LNC002966)". Lineage: Eukaryota; Viridiplantae; Streptophyta; Magnoliopsida; Poales; Bromeliaceae. The record is from RNAcentral.